RNAcentral lists this ribosomal RNA (507 nucleotides) under uncultured bacterium. RNAcentral's name for it is "bacterial SSU rRNA". It matches the Rfam family "Bacterial small subunit ribosomal RNA", at positions 9 to 506 of the family's 1533-position model. The record is from RNAcentral.
GAGUUUGAUCCUGGCUCAGGAUGAACGCUAGCUACAGGCUUAACACAUGCAAGUCGAGGGGCAGCAUGAACUUAGCUUGCUAAGUUUGAUGGCGACCGGCGCACGGGUGAGUAACACGUAUCCAACCUGCCUAUGACUCGGGGAUAGCCUUUCGAAAGAAAGAUUAAUACCCGAUGGCAUAGUUCUUCCGCAUGGUAGAACUAUUAAAGAACUUCGGUCAUCGAUGGGGAUGCGUUCCAUUAGGUUGUUGGCGGGGUAACGGCCCACCAAGCCUUCGAUGGAUAGGGGUUCUGAGAGGAAGGCCCCCCACAUUGGAACUGAGACACGGUCCAAACUCCUACGGGAGGCAGCAGUGAGGAAUAUUGGUCAAUGGACGAGAGUCUGAACCAGCCAAGUAGCGUGAAGGAUGACUGCCCUAUGGGUUGUAAACUUCUUUUAUACGGGAAUAAAGUGAGGCACGUGUGCCUUUUUGUAUGUACCGUAUGAAUAAGGAUCGGCUAACUCCGU